UACGUAGGGGGCAAGCGUUGUCCGGAUUCAUUGGGCGUAAAGAGCGUGUAGGCGGCCAGGCAGGUCGGUUGUGAAAACUGGAGGCUCAACCUUCAGACGUCGACCGAAACCAUCUGGCUAGAGUCCGGGAGAGGAGAGUGGAAUUCCUGGUGUAGCGGUGAAAUGCGCAGAUAUCAGGAAGAACACCCGUGGCGAAAGCGGCUCUCUGGAACGGUACUGACGCUGAGACGCGAAAGCGUGGGGAGCGAACAGG
Molecule: ribosomal RNA, 253 nt
Filed under: uncultured bacterium
Lineage: Bacteria
Description: partial 16S ribosomal RNA
Rfam family: Bacterial small subunit ribosomal RNA
Source: RNAcentral